Molecule: ribosomal RNA, 253 nt
Filed under: uncultured bacterium
Lineage: Bacteria
Description: partial 16S ribosomal RNA
Rfam family: Bacterial small subunit ribosomal RNA
Source: RNAcentral
UACGGAGGGUGCAAGCGUUGUCCGGAAUCACUGGGCGUAAAGGGCGCGUAGGCGGCUUCUCAAGCGUGUGGUGAAAGUCCGGGGCUCAACCCCGGAUCGGCCGUGCGGACUGGGGAGCUCGAGUUCUGUAGAGGCGGGUGGAAUUCCGGGUGUAGCGGUGGAAUGCGUAGAGAUCCGGAAGAACACCGGUGGCGAAGGCGGCCCGCUGGGCAGAGACUGACGCUGAGGCGCGACAGCGUGGGGAGCAAACAGG